RNAcentral lists this long non-coding RNA (1187 nucleotides) under Homo sapiens (human). RNAcentral describes it as "non-protein coding lnc-NOP58-1:1". The record is from RNAcentral. Lineage: Eukaryota; Metazoa; Chordata; Mammalia; Primates; Hominidae.
CUAUAAUUACCUUUAGAUGUGAUUAGGCUGCUAGGGUCAUGUAGGAUAAUGUCCUUAGUUUUCUUUUUGUUUUUUUUUUUGAGAUGGAGUCUCACUCUGUCGCCCAGGCUAGAGUGCAGUGGUGCGACCUUGGCUCACUGCAACCUCAGCCUCCUGAGUAGCUGGGAUUACAGGUGUGCGCCACCAUGCCCUAAUUUUUGUAUUUUUACUAGUGAUGGGUUUUCACCAUGUUGGUCAGGCUGGUCUCAAACUCCUGACCUCGUGAUCCGCCCUCCUCGGCCUCCCAAAGUGCUGGGAUUACAGGCGUGAGCCACUGCGGCGGCUGUCCUUAGGUUUUGUUUUGUUUUGUUUUGUUUGAGAUGGAGUUUCACUUUUGUUACCCAGGCUGGAGUGCAAUGACGCCAUCUCAGCUCUCCACAACCUUCGUCUCCCGGCUUCAAGCGAUUCUCCUGCCUCAGCCUCCUGAGUAGCUGGAACUACAGGUGCCCACCAUCAUGCCCAGUUAAUUUUGUAUUUUUUAGUAGAGACGGGGUUUCUCCAUGUUGGUCAGGCUGGUCUUGAACUUCCGACCUCAGGUAAUCCACCCACCGUGGCCUCCCAAAGUGCUGGGAUUACAGGCAUGAGCCACCGCGCCCGGUCUGUCCUUAGUUUUUAAAGAUGCAAGCUGCUGGGAGGAAGUAUCCUGAUGUCUAUAAUUUGUUUUGCAGUGCUUCGGCAGAGAUUAUGAAUAUAAAUAGAUGAAGCAAAUACAGCAAAAUGUUAAUAGUUGUUGAAAUAUGUUGUGGGGGUAUAUGAAUGAUCAUCAUACUAUUUUCUCCCUUUUUAUUCCUGAAUGCUUGAAAUGAUCAUAAAGUCUUAUUUUUUAAAGCAGAAACAUGCUAUUUAUUUUGCUUUAAUUCUGAGUUCUUUCUCUCUGAAAACUUCCAAGAUCCUUGCAAAGUUCUUGCCAGCAAGUAUUUGGGACACCCACUAUGGGCCAGGCACUUGUGAGCAGGGAAAGCUCAAAAGAAAAAGAUGCAGUAGCUGAUGACCUCAGAGAAUUCACAAAGUGAACCUCAGACCUCAAACGCUCCUGAUGAAGAAGAGCUCUUAGAAACUCAGAUUUAAAAAAUGCACAGGCCAAGCGCAGUGGCUCAUGCCUGUAAUCCCAGCACUCUACGAGGCCGAGGCGAGUGGAUCACUUGAGG